RNAcentral lists this ribosomal RNA (553 nucleotides) under uncultured bacterium. Its description in RNAcentral is "bacterial SSU rRNA". It matches the Rfam family "Bacterial small subunit ribosomal RNA", at positions 355 to 897 of the family's 1533-position model. The record is from RNAcentral.
UGGGGAAUAUUGGGCAAUGGCCGAAAGGCUGACCCAGCGACGCCGCGUGUGGGAGGAAGCCCUUCGGGGUGUAAACCACUGUCAGAGGGGACGAAAGAGCGGGGAGUGAAUAAUUCUUCGCAGUGACGGUACCCUCAAAGGAAGCACCGGUUAACUCUGUGCCAGCAGCCGCGGUAAUACAGAGGGUGCGAGCGUUGUUCGGAAUUACUGGGCGUAAAGCGCGCGCAGGCGGGUCCUGUAAGUCGGAAGUGAAAUUUCGGAGCUCAACUCCGAAGCUGCUUCUGAUACUGCGGAUCUAGGGAUCGGUAGAGGUCGGUGGAAUUACAGGUGUAGCGGUGGAAUGCGUAGAUAUCUGUAAGAACACCCGUGGCGAAGGCGGCCGACUGGGCCGGAUCCGACGCUGAGGCGCGAAAGCGUGGGGAACAAACAGGAUUAGAUACCCUGGUAGUCCACGCCGUAAACGAUGGGCACUAGGUGCCGGGGGGAGCGACCCCUUCGGUGCCGCAGCUAACGCGAUAAGUGCCCCGCCUGGGGAGUACGGCCGCAAGGCUGA